This 406-nucleotide ribosomal RNA is filed under the name uncultured bacterium. RNAcentral's name for it is "partial 16S ribosomal RNA". It matches the Rfam family "Bacterial small subunit ribosomal RNA", at positions 30 to 526 of the family's 1533-position model. The record is from RNAcentral.
AUUGAACGCUGGCGGCAGGCCUAACACAUGCAAGUCGAACGAGUGGCGGAAGGGUGAGUAAUGUCUGGGAAACUGCCUGAUGGAGGGGGAUAACUACUGGAAACGGUAGCUAAUCCCGCAUACCAUCGGAUGUGCCCAGCUGGGCUUAGCUAGUAGGUGUGGUAAAGGCGCACCUAGGCGCAGCUCCCUAGCUGGUCUGAGAGGAUGACCAGGCACACUGGAACUGAGACACGGUCCAGACGCCGACGGGAGGCAGCAGUGGGGAAUAUUGGACAAUGGGCGCAAGCCUGAUGGAGCCAUGCCGCGUGUAUGAAGAAGGACUUCGGUGUGUAAAGUACUGUCAGCGGGAAGGCGUUACCCGCAGAAGAAGCACCGGCUAACUCCGUGCCAGCAGCCGCGGUAAUUC